UCAGGGGUCGUUCAAUGGCAGGACAUCAGAUUUUGGUUCUGAUUAUCGGGGUUCGAAUCCCUGCCCCUGAGCCA
This 74-nucleotide transfer RNA is filed under the name Capsulimonadaceae bacterium. RNAcentral's name for it is "tRNA-Gln". It matches the Rfam family "tRNA". From Rfam's summary of the family: Transfer RNA (tRNA) molecules are approximately 80 nucleotides in length. Their secondary structure includes four short double-helical elements and three loops (D, anti-codon, and T loops). Further hydrogen bonds mediate the characteristic L-shaped molecular structure. tRNAs have two regions of fundamental functional importance: the anti-codon, which is responsible for specific mRNA codon recognition, and the 3' end, to which the tRNAs corresponding amino acid is attached (by aminoacyl-tRNA synthetases). tRNAs cope with the degeneracy of the genetic code in two manners: having more than one tRNA (with a specific anti-codon) for a particular amino acid; and 'wobble' base-pairing, i.e. permitting non-standard base-pairing at the 3rd anti-codon position. Lineage: Bacteria; Bacillati; Armatimonadota; Armatimonadia; Capsulimonadales; Capsulimonadaceae. The record is from RNAcentral.